GUGGGGAAUUUUGGACAAUGGGCGCAAGCCUGAUCCAGCCAUGCCGCGUGCAGGAUGAAGGCCUUCGGGUUGUAAACUGCUUUUGUACGGAACGAAAAAGCUCUCUCUAAUACAGGGGGUGAAUGACGGUACCGUAAGAAUAAGCACCGGCUAACUACGUGCCAGCAGCCGCGGUAAUACGUAGGGUGCAAGCGUUAAUCGGAAUUACUGGGCGUAAAGCGUGCGCAGGCGGUUUUGUAAGACAGGCGUGAAAUCCCCGGGCUCAACCUGGGAAUUGCGCUUGUGACAGCAAGGCUGGAGUGCGGCAGAGGGGGAUGGAAUUCCGCGUGUAGCAGUGAAAUGCGUAGAUAUGCGGAGGAACACCGAUGGCGAAGGCAAUCCCCUGGGCCUGCACUGACGCUCAUGCACGAAAGCGUGGGGAGCAAACAGGAUUAGAAACCCCGGUAGUCC
Molecule: ribosomal RNA, 450 nt
Filed under: uncultured bacterium
Lineage: Bacteria
Description: partial 16S ribosomal RNA
Rfam family: Bacterial small subunit ribosomal RNA
Source: RNAcentral